AGUCGCGUGCGCAGUUUCCGUAGCAAUACGGGGAUGGGCGCACGGCGCACGGGUGCGUAACACGUGGGCAAUCUGCCCUCCGAUGGGGAAUACCCCCGCGAAAGCGGGACUAAUUCCGCAUAACAUUCCUUGGAUUAACUUUCGAGGAUUCAAAGCAGCAAUGCGUCGGAGGAGGAGCCCGCGCCCGAUUAGCUAGUUGGUGAGGUAACGGCUCACCAAGGCAAUGAUCGGUAGCUGGUCUGAGAGGAUGGCCAGCCACACUGGAACUGAGACACGGUCCAGACUCCUACGGGAGGCAGCAGUGGGGAAUCUUGCACAAUGGGCGAAAGCCUGAUGCAGCGACGCCGCGUGGGGGAUGAAGCUUUUCGGAGUGUAAACUCCUUUCGACUGGGACGAAUGCCUCGCAAGAGGAGUGACGGUACCAGUAUAAGAAGCCCCGGCUAACUACGUGCCAGCAGCCGCGGUAAGACGUAGGGGGCCAGCGUUGUUCGGAAUUACUGGGUGUAAAGGGUUCGUAGGCGGUGUGGCAAGUCGGGAGUGAAAUCUCUGGGCUCAACCCAGAGACUGCUUCCGAAACUGCUGUGCUUGAGUGUGAGAGAGGCUCGUGGAAUUGCAGGUGUAGCGGUGAAAUGCGUAGAUAUCUGCAGGAACACCCGUGGCGAAAGCGGCGAGCUGGAUCACUACUGACGCUGAGGAACGA
Molecule: ribosomal RNA, 700 nt
Filed under: uncultured Acidobacteriota bacterium
Lineage: Bacteria; Pseudomonadati; Acidobacteriota
Description: bacterial SSU rRNA
Rfam family: Bacterial small subunit ribosomal RNA
Source: RNAcentral